This 279-nucleotide ribosomal RNA is filed under the name uncultured bacterium. Its description in RNAcentral is "partial 16S ribosomal RNA". It matches the Rfam family "Bacterial small subunit ribosomal RNA", at positions 506 to 784 of the family's 1533-position model. The record is from RNAcentral.
UGCCAGCCGCCGCGGUAAUACGUAGGGGGCAAGCGUUGUCCGGAUUUACUGGGUGUAAAGGGAGCGCAGGCGGUUAUCUAAGUCAGAGGUGAAAUCCUACAGCUUAACUGUAGAACUGCCUUUGAUACUGGAUAACUUGAGUACUAGAGAGGGAGACGGAAUUCCAGGUGUAGUGGUGAAAUACGUAGAUAUCUGGAAGAACACCAGAGGCGAAGGCGGUCUCUUGGCUAGUAACUGACGCUGAGGCUCGAAAGCGUGGGGAGCGAACAGGAUUAGAUA